AGUGGCGGCGCAGUAUUCUAGUCAGAUCCUCUGUUUCCUAGGGAGGGCCUAAAAAUCCUCUGAAGGGCACACCGAUGAAACCUCUGGUGCCUGCUUGAUACGCCCAGUUUUGGGUGGGUGCUGGGGGGAAGUGCGCCACGCGCGCUUGCGGACUCAGGGCGCUUUCCAAUGGCAUGGUUAACCCGACCCUGUUUCCGUGGAGACCUGUUCUUGUGCACAGUCGUACUCCCAUCGUGGUAUUUCCGAGCUGUGUACGAAGCAGAUGUGAACCUGCAAUGCGGUGCAUCGGCCCUGCGGGGCCGUAACGCUGUGUGCAGAUGUAGCCUGCCUUGCGUGGAUAUGGCGGAUGAGAGGCCAGGCCGUUUUGCUCCCGGCCGGAGCGAACGGCCCCUUGCUCUUUGAAACCAUGUCUGCAAAAGAGGCUAAAGAAGCGGAUGGACUGUGGUGGAAAUCACCUAGGCUGUUCCAUCGAGGCAGAAAAGGGAUUGCAGUGCGGACUAAGUGGCAAUCGGGUAGCGUGUUCGGGCGACGUCACGCCGCGGCGACAAAGGGGGAACCGCCUCCAUCGGCAACGAGAGGUGCGCCGCGGGGAAAACCAACCCGUACCUAAGCCGUAAGAUUUACCUUUUCUGUUGCCGCCA
RNAcentral lists this small RNA (641 nucleotides) under uncultured Dysosmobacter sp. The record is from RNAcentral. Lineage: Bacteria; Bacillati; Bacillota; Clostridia; Eubacteriales; Oscillospiraceae.